AGUGAACGCUGGCGGUAGGCCUAACACAUGCAAGUCGAACGGCUGCACAGUAAUAGCUUGCGCUUACGGGUGGCGAGGGGCGGAUGGGUCCGGAAUACAUCCGUAUCAACUUUUUCGUAGGUGAUAACGUGGGCGCAAUUACGCCAAUACUCCAGACGACGUACGUGUGGAAGCUGGGGAUCUUCCGACCUUAGGCGAGUGUAUGAGGCGAGGUCGGAUUAGCUAGUUGGCGGGGUAAAGGCCCACCAAGGCGACGAUCCGUAGCUGGUCUGAGAGGAUGAUCAGCCACACUGGAACUGAGACACGGUCCAGACUCCUACGGGAGGCAGCAGUGGGGAAUAUUGGACAAAGGGCGAAAGCCUGAUCCAGCCAUGCCGCGUGGGUGAAGAAGGUCUUCGGAUUGUAAAGCACUUUUGGUGGGGAAGAAAGGCAGUAAGUUAAUACCUCGCUGUUUUGACGGUACCAAAAGAAUAAGCACCGGCUAACUUCGUG
Molecule: ribosomal RNA, 492 nt
Filed under: uncultured bacterium
Lineage: Bacteria
Description: partial 16S ribosomal RNA
Rfam family: Bacterial small subunit ribosomal RNA
Source: RNAcentral